Small nucleolar RNA from Octodon degus (degu), 101 nucleotides. RefSeq annotates it as small nucleolar RNA U13. NCBI's taxonomy places the organism in Eukaryota, Metazoa, Chordata, Mammalia, Rodentia, Octodontidae. The record is from RefSeq and is a predicted model, not a curated record. The transcript has a single exon.
AUCUUUCAGUUUAUGAGCAUGACAAUUGGGUGUUCAUGCUUUAUGCAUGAGAUGUGCCUCUUCAAACCUUGUUACAAUGUGGGCACAUUAUCCAUCUGACA